Molecule: long non-coding RNA, 1582 nt
Filed under: Oryza sativa (Asian cultivated rice)
Lineage: Eukaryota; Viridiplantae; Streptophyta; Magnoliopsida; Poales; Poaceae
Description: long non-coding RNA (OSAT_LNC000749)
Source: RNAcentral
CCCACGCCCUUCGCCAUAGUGCCAAUAUGGCACGGCGUCAAGGGCUGCGGGCGAAGAGGUUUCGGCACACGCCACCCUUCGCCAUAGUACCAAUGAGGUACGGUGUCAAGGGUUGCGGGUGAACAGGUUUCGCCCACCCACGCCCUUCGCCAUAGUACCAAUGUGGUACGGCGUCAAGGGUUGCGGGCGAAGAGAUUUCGUCCACCCACGCCCUUCGCCAUAGUGCCAAUAAGGCACGGCGUCAAGGGCUGCGGGCGAACAGGUUUCGCCAACCCACACCCUUCGCCACAGUACCCGCGCGAUACGGCGACAAGGGCUGGGGGCGAAAGUGAGUUAAGUCCAAGCUGGGGGGCUACGAAGCCGCCCAAGCCUCUGGACACCUUUCGCCACACGCCACGCCCAUCGCCAUAGUACCAAUAAGGCACGGCGUCAAGUGCUGCGGGCGAACAGGUUUCGCCAACCCACGCCCUUCGCCAUAGUGCCAAUAUGGCACGGCGUCAAGGGCUGUGGGCGAAGAGGUUUUGCCACACGCCAUACCCUUCGCCAUAGUACCAAUGAGGUACGGCGUCAAGGGUUACGGGGAACAGGUUUCGCCCACCCACGCCCUUCGCCAUAGUACCAAUGAGGUACGGCGUCAAGGGUUGUGAGCGAAGAGGUUUCGUCCACCCACGCCCUUCGCCAAAGUGCCAAUAAGGCACGGCGUCAAGGGCUGCGGGCGAACAGGUUUCACCAACCCACGCCCUUCGCCAUAGUGCCAAUAUGGCACGGAGUCAAAGGCUGCGGGCGAAGAGGUUUCGCCACACGCCAUACCCUUCGCCAUAGUACCAAUGAGGUACGGCGUCAAGGGUUGCGGGCGAAGAGGUUUUGUCCACCCACGCCCUUCGCCAUAGUGCCAAUAAGGUACGGCGUCAAGGGUUGCGGGCGAACAAGUUUCGCCAACCUACACCCUUCGCCACAGUACCCGCGCGAUACGGCGACAAGGGCUAGGGGCGAAAGUGAGUUAAGUCCAAGCUGGAGGGCUACGAAGCCGCCCAAGCCUCUGGACACCUUUCGCCACACGCCACGCCCUUCGCCAUAGUACCAAUAAGUCACGGCGUCAAGGGCUGCGGGCGAACAGGUUUCGCUACCCAUGCCCUUCGCCAUAGUGCCAAUAUGGCACAGCGUCAAGGGCUGCGGGCGAAGAGGUUUCGCCACACGCCAUACCCUUCGCCAUAGUACCAAUGAGGUACGGCAUGAAGGGUUGCGGGGAACAGGUUUCGCCCACCCACGCUCUUCGCCAUUGUACAAAUGAGGUACAGCGUCAAGGGUUGCGGGCGAAAAGGUUUCGUCCACCCAGGCCCUUCGCCAUAGUGCCAAUAUGGCACGGCGUCAAGGGCUGCGGGCGAAGAGGUUUUGCCACACGCCAUACCCUUCGCCAUAGUACCAAUGAGGUACGGCAUCAAGGGUUGCGGGCGAAGGGGUUUCGUCCACCCACGCCCUUCGCCAUAGUGCCAAUAAGGCACGGCGUCAAGGGCUGCGGGCGAACAGGUUUCGCCAACCCACGCCCUUCGCCAUAGUGCCAAUAUGGCACGACGUCAAGGGC